RNAcentral lists this long non-coding RNA (575 nucleotides) under Equus caballus (horse). RNAcentral describes it as "lncRNA (ENSECAG00000048520.1)". Lineage: Eukaryota; Metazoa; Chordata; Mammalia; Perissodactyla; Equidae. The record is from RNAcentral.
AUCAUGUCUUUCCUUACAGAGCCCCACAGGCAGCCCCGUGCAGGCCCUGCCAGUGAGUCCAGGGUUUUAUUUCAAGCCGUCCUUCCCCGUCAAGCUCAUCGCCUGCGUUUGGCCACACACUCGCAGCUCUCCGAGCACAGCUGGUUUUUUCCUCUUUGUUUACUCUUUCAACAAAAGCUGGAUUCUAGACCAAGCUGUUAAGUCCUGGAGAUGCAGAAAGGAACAAGACAAACACAGGCUCAGCCCUCCAAAGCUUUCAGUAAUGAUCAAUAAAAGACUUCCAAGCAUAAAAACAGGAGGUAUUUUCAUCAAAUCUUGCCAGCAGAUUACAAGUUCAAGGAGAAAAAGAAAUGAUGCAACGUUUCCAACAAUUAGAGCCAAGUUUUUUGCGUGUUUUUUACAUCAGCGAUGGCGGAUGUCAGAUCACUGUGGCACUGAGUUUCCUCUGGACACACCUGAAAAGUGAUGUAACAGUUUUAUUUCAGAAUGUCAAUAUUAAAUAUGAUGCAAAGAUUUCAAUGUACGAUAAAAAAAUUAAGUGUUAAAGAUGUGAGAGGGAGUAUGUGGAUUUUCAA